Globicephala melas (long-finned pilot whale) is the source of this 511-nucleotide long non-coding RNA. RefSeq lists it as uncharacterized. NCBI's taxonomy places the organism in Eukaryota, Metazoa, Chordata, Mammalia, Artiodactyla, Delphinidae. The record is from RefSeq and is a predicted model, not a curated record.
UGGCGCAGUGAUUGAGAGUCCGUCUGCCGAUGCAUGGGGACACGGAUUCGUGCCCCGGUCCGGGAGGAUCCCACAUGCCGCGCGGAGCGGCUGGGCCCGUGAGCCUUGGCCCUUGAGCCUGCGCGUCCGGAGCCCGUGCUCCACAAUGGAAGAGGCUGCAACGAUUUCCAUUUCUGCUUUGGAUGUACAAAGCCAAAGGAAAACAUUGCUCUGAUCUUAACAUAAGAAAGUAUUGGAUGAUCUAUAAAAAUGUAACCUUCCUUGAACCCAUCAGAGAGCUGAAGUGGUGAGAAAACAAAGUAAACUAAGUUCCAAAGAGUGGCAAGCACCUCUAACGUGAGACAGGACACAAACCUGCUUCACUUUGGCAGAACACAGAGGAAAAGUUUGGUGUAGCAGGCCAAUAAAUAAUGGCAUGCAAAAACUACAGGAAGAACUUCAGGCAUUUCUUAUCAUAUUUUUGACCAGAUGCUACAGAUCAAAGAAGUGGCAUCCACAGUUGAGAUGGAUA